GUUGAACGCUGGCGGCAUGCCUAACACAUGCAAGUCGAACGGGGUGUAGCAAUACAUCUAGUGGCGGACGGGUGAGGAAUACAUAGGAAUUUGCCCUUAAGUGGGGAAUAGUCCGGGGAAACUCGGUUUAAUACCGCAUGAUCUCGUGAGAGCAAAGCAGGGGACCGCAAGGCCUUGCGCUUUUGGAGAAGCCUAUGUCGGAUUAGCUAGUUGGUAGGGUAAUGGCCUACCAAGGCGACGAUCCGUAACUGGUCUGAGAGGAUGAUCAGUCACACCGGAACUGAGACACGGUCCGGACUCCUACGGGAGGCAGCAGUGGGGAAUAUUGGACAAUGGGCGCAAGCCUGAUCCAGCAAUGCCGCGUGUGUGAAGAAGGCCU
Molecule: ribosomal RNA, 379 nt
Filed under: uncultured bacterium
Lineage: Bacteria
Description: bacterial SSU rRNA
Rfam family: Bacterial small subunit ribosomal RNA
Source: RNAcentral